AUGAGAUCAAGGAGAUUUUAAGUAGCAUAUGAAAAUAUAGUUGAGAACUGACAAAAUACUUUCAUUGGUUUAUAGUGGUUAGACUGUCGUUUAAGUCCGUGUUUAAGUGUUAAGUUUUUAUCAGUGAUCUCUGUCUUCUUACCAUAUUGCUAUAGUUAUUUACCAUUUAAUUGAUAAGCAUAUCAUGAAUGCAAAGUGUGUUAUAGUUAGUGUAACUUUAAAAAUAUGUAUUUUUAUAAGUUAAUUACAUACUUUUUGAAGGUCAAUGAGAUUCCACAAUGUCUAACUUCUGUGCUGAAGUGUAUAAUCACAGUAAUUCUGGGGUAAAUAAUUCUUGCCCCUUUGAAAUUAUUUAAUUCAUAUCAGUCAUUAAAUUUCAAAAUUUAGGGCCUUUUAAAAGAGGUCCUGGUUCUUUAUCAGUCUCCAAGAAAACGAAUGAGUGCUGGUAAUAAAAGGUAUUAUUUUCUAGGUCAUCAGAAGAAAUCUUUAUAUAGAACUAAUCAUUCAACAAAAUAUAAUGUAUAAUAAAGUUUUUAUACCUUUAAAAAUUAAUUUGGAUUUCUCAAGGGGGUAUUUUGCUUUUGAAAUAUGAAUAUUGUUUACGACUAAUGAAACAUACCAUAACAAGUAUUUUCUUAUACACUCACUAAAGUUAAUGUAUCCUGUCUAUGUUCAGUAGAUCAUCACAAACAUUUAGAAAUACUCAAGCUAUGGGAGCAAAUCUGAAAAUAAAAAGGCCUGAUGCAAUCCAAAUAUUAAUGGUAAUAAUUUUUGCUUUUCAAAAUUUUAUUAGUUUAAUUUAUGUAUAUGAAUAUGUUAUCUCCAUGUGCGUUUAUGCACCACAUGUGUGCCUAGUGCCUGUGGGAAUCAGAAAAGGGUCCUCUGAAAUUGUAGUUACAGAUAGUUAUGAACCAUCAUCACAUUGAUACUGGGAACUGAACCCAGGUCCUCUGCAAGAGCAACAAGUGAUCUAAUGUACUGAGGUAUCUCUCCAGGUCUAAAGGAUAUUUGUUUUGUUUUUGUUUUUUCUUUUUGUUUUUUUUUUUUUUUGUUGUUGUUGUUGUUUUGUUUUUUCUUCUUAAAUCAGUGUCUCAAAACUCUGAAAGGCCUGGAACUCUUUAUGAAGACCAGUGUGGCCUUGAACUCACAGAAAUCCUCUUGCCUCUGUAUCCAGAGUCGUAGGAUUAAAGGUGUGCACCAUCAUGCCUGGCCUUCUAAUUCUUAUGAAGUUAAACCAUAAACCCAAGUACUUUGAUGCUUAAAAAGCACAGUUAAUUUUAAAAUAUGUCUCACUUGAUAAAGAAAACAUCUUUUCAUUUAUUUUUGUAUGAAAUUUGGAGCCUUUUAAUUCUUUAGGGGUCUCUAAUAAAACAGUGAGUGUUGAUAUAUUGCAUUAUUUUCUCAGUCAUAAGACUAAAUUUUAUGUAGAACUAAUCAUUUAACAAAUUAUGUAUAAAAAUUUACAUCUUGAAUAAUUAACUUUAGAUUUGCCAAGGUGAUAUUUUACUCUUGAAAAAUAAACAACUUAACAAAUCAAUAUCUGAUACUAUUUAAAAUAAAUUUAAGCUAGUAUAUAUAGAAUGGCAAGAAACAUUUUAAAGUCACCUAUAUUUGAGAACUUUGCACAUUUGAAACCCUUGAGUAAAACACUAAUGAAUUUACAUGAUUUUUUUCAGAAAAUCAGAAAUAUUUAAAUUAAUAGCUAUAUUGUAUAAAAUAUUAUAUUUUAUUGUUAUUGAAAUGAAAAAUGUUUUAUUGCUGUCAUAAAGACUAAGGUUUGAAUAAAAACACUGUCAUGAUAAUAGUUAAAUAUUCACUACAAGUCAUGGUAAUUUGUUUCCAAAUAAAAGACAAAAGAAAAACUAAGAAUGCAUUUCAUUAUUCUACAUAGGGAAGUAUGAGACACUUUAAUUGACAAUAAAUAAGGGGCAUAGUCAUGUGAAUGGUUUAAAUGUAAAUGGAUAUCACAAAUACAAUAAAAUUCUGCCUAUUUUGAUGUCUAAGGUCAAACAGCAAGAAGAGCUUUCAUUCAAUUUUUCUUGUUAUUCUUGAUGUGACUACUAACAGUGAUCUUAAACCUCAGGAGUACUCUUUUGUAAGUGAACUUUCCUUUAAGAAAAAAAAAAUGUAAAGAGACUGGUGCUAAUAUACUCCUAGCUACUUUCUUACCUCCAUUUACCUAACCUCAAUCCACCCUUACAAAUUCUUGAGAUUACACAGAAUUUUUCUGCUUUGUGUAUUUUAUGUAGUUUGUCUACACAUGAUUUCUUUUUUUACAAUUUGUAGCAUGUAUGUGAUACUGUGCAAUUUUUUUGAGAUGAUGUUUUAAAAUUUGCAUGUUAAGAAACAGUAGAAGUUGGGAAACGUGUCUACUGUUUAUAUGUGAAUGAAUGUAUUUAACUAAAGUUGUACUUUUAAAAGAAUGUACAUUUAAUAAUAAUGUAAAUUAAAGAAACAGCAAAAUCU
Molecule: long non-coding RNA, 2466 nt
Filed under: Mus musculus (house mouse)
Lineage: Eukaryota; Metazoa; Chordata; Mammalia; Rodentia; Muridae
Description: long non-coding RNA chrX:119932217-119934683
Source: RNAcentral